Molecule: long non-coding RNA, 1148 nt
Organism: Nycticebus coucang (slow loris)
Lineage: Eukaryota; Metazoa; Chordata; Mammalia; Primates; Lorisidae
Exons: 4
Source: RefSeq, a predicted model, not a curated record
AGAUGGCGCUAAGGCCGAGAGAAAGCCAAAGUUCCGCCUACGGCUUUUUAGUGAACCGCUCGGUGUCGUCACUUCCGCUGUUCUGCCUUUUCCCCCAAGGGGCGGGGCUGCAAUGAGAGUAACAAUGGCUAUCCGCCCCUUUCAAGUGGCUGAGGACAUCGUAUUAUGACAACGUGAGCACCUAUUGCCAAUACUGGACCGAGAGGGGCCGACCCGAAAAGCAGUGACUUCCGCCUUGCUUCUCAUUGCUUCUUGGGAGUUGAAGUUUACUACCGAAUCCUCCAUUUUACUUUGGAUAGGGUCUCACUUGCCCAGGCUGGAGUGCAGUGGCAGAUUCACAGGUUGCCUCCAACUCUGAGCUCAAGCAAUCCUCCCACUUAAGCCUGCGGAGUAGCUGGGACUACAGGUGCGUAAUACCACACGCAGCCUCAAGCUGUCACCCUGGGUAGAGUACCAUGGCAUCACAGCUCACAGCAACCUCCAAUUCCUGGGCUCAAGCGAUUCUCCUGCCUCUGCCUCCGCCUACCAAGGAGCUGGGACUAUAGGUGCCUGCCAGGUAUAUGUGGCUGGCACCUUAGCCGCUUCAGCCACAGGCACCAAGCCUACAUUUAGUUUCUUAAAAUGAAUUUACCUACAGUUCAUAUUUUUUUCCUGUUUACAGCAAUCUUUUUUUUUUUUUUUCAAAGUCAUAUACACAUAGAUCAUGAAUACAUUUAUACACAUGUGGGGUACAAUGUAUUGAUUUUUUAAUACAAUUUGACAUGCUUACAUCAAAAUAAUUAAUAUAGUUUUCCCCUCAUGGCAGCUUUAUUUUUUUUGAGACACACUCUCACUAUGUCACCCUCAGUAGAGUGCUAUGACGACACGGCUCACAGCAACUUCAUUGAGCUCAAGCGAUUCUCUUGCCUCAGCCUCCCAAGUAGCUGGUACUACAGGUGCCCACCACAUGCUCAACUAUUUUUAGAGAUGGGGUCUUGCUCUGGCUCAAGCUGGUCUGGAAUUCCUGAGCUCAGGGGAUCCACCCACCUCAGACUUCCAGAGUGCUAGGAUUACAGGCGUGAGCCACCGCGCCUGGCCUAGGUUGGCAGCUUUAUACAUAUUAGCUAUAGUGCCUAAUACAUCCUUGGUUCUAUCAAGCUUUGGAGUUG